AGGGCAAACCCGUCGAAAGGCGGGGACGCAAAGCCACCGGCCUAACGCGCAUCAGCGCCACGGCAGCGGGGUUGCCAA
Molecule: non-coding RNA, 78 nt
Filed under: uncultured Roseateles sp.
Lineage: Bacteria; Pseudomonadati; Pseudomonadota; Betaproteobacteria; Burkholderiales; Sphaerotilaceae
Description: Cyclic di-GMP-I riboswitch
Rfam family: c-di-GMP-I riboswitch aptamer
About the family: GEMM was predicted in a large-scale screen for bacterial structured RNA regulatory elements. Genes associated with GEMM are involved in a diverse array of functions, including chemotaxis regulation, signal transduction, secretion and chitin.
Source: RNAcentral